Molecule: ribosomal RNA, 218 nt
Filed under: uncultured bacterium
Lineage: Bacteria
Description: partial 16S ribosomal RNA
Rfam family: Bacterial small subunit ribosomal RNA
Source: RNAcentral
UGAGCAACCUACCUUUGAGUUGGGGAUAGCCCUGGGAAACCAGGAUUAAUACCCGAUGUGGUCACAACAGGACAUCCUGAUGUGAGUAAAGGCGUAAGCCGCUCAAUGACGGGCUCGCGGCCUAUUAGCUUGUUGGUGGGGUAACGGCCUACCAAGGCGAUGAUGGGUAGCUGGUCUGAGAGGACGAUCAGCCACACUGGGACUGAGACACGGCCCAG